RNAcentral lists this ribosomal RNA (303 nucleotides) under uncultured bacterium. RNAcentral's name for it is "partial 16S ribosomal RNA". It matches the Rfam family "Bacterial small subunit ribosomal RNA", at positions 507 to 808 of the family's 1533-position model. The record is from RNAcentral.
AGCAGUCGCCACGGGAAUACGGAGGGUGCAAGCGUUAAUCGGAAUUACUGGGCGUAAAGCGCACGCAGGCGGUCUGACAAGUCAGAUGUGAAAUCCCCGGGCUUAACCUGGGAACUGCAUUUGAAACUGUCAGGCUGGAGUCUUGUAGAGGGGGGUGGAAUUCCAGGUGUAGCGGUGAAAUGCGUAGAGAUCUGGAGGAAUACCGGUGGCGAAGGCGGCCCCCUGGACGAAGACUGACGCUCAGGUGCGAAAGCGUGGGGAGCAAACAGGAUUAGAUACCCCGGUAUCCCUGUCUCUUAUACC